Molecule: ribosomal RNA, 118 nt
Filed under: Jeotgalibacillus soli
Lineage: Bacteria; Bacillati; Bacillota; Bacilli; Caryophanales; Caryophanaceae
Source: RNAcentral
AAGCUGACGCUAAAGAUCCGCCGUUCAUCCUUUUCCGCAGCGCCGAACAUGGAAGUUAAGCUCGUGCGCCGAUGGUAGUUAGGGGGUUUCCCCUGUGAGAGUAGGACGUCGCUAGGCA